RNAcentral lists this ribosomal RNA (404 nucleotides) under Actinomycetes bacterium. RNAcentral describes it as "Actinobacteria bacterium partial 16S ribosomal RNA". It matches the Rfam family "Bacterial small subunit ribosomal RNA", at positions 355 to 776 of the family's 1533-position model. The record is from RNAcentral. Lineage: Bacteria; Bacillati; Actinomycetota; Actinomycetes.
UGGGGAAUAUUGGACAAUGUGCGCAAGCCUGAUCCAGCCAUGCCGCGUGAGGGAUGAAGGCCCUAGGUUUGUAAAGCUCUUUCACCGGUGAAGAUAAUGACGUUAACCGGAGAAGAAGCCCCGGCUAACUUCGCGCCAGCAGCCGCGGUAAUACAAAGCGGGCUAGCGUUGUUCGGUUUUACUGGGCGUAAAGCCCACGUAGGCGGACUAUUAAGUCAGGGGGGAAAUCCCGGGGCUCAACCCCGGAACUGCCUUUGAUACUGGUAGUAUUGAGUUCGAGAGAGGUGAAUGGAAUUCCGGGUGUAGAGGUGAAAUUCGUAGAUAUUCGGAGGAACACCAGUGGCGAAGGCGGCUCACUGGCUCGAUACUGACGCUGAGGUGCGAAAGCGUGGGGAGCAAACAGG